GACGAACGCUGGCGGCGUGCUUAACACAUGCAAGUCGAACGGUGAAGCUCCAGCUUGCUGGAGUGGAUCAGUGGCGAACGGGUGAGUAACACGUGAGCAACCUGCCCCUGACUCUGGAAUAAGCGCUGGAAACGGCGUCUAAUACUGGAUACGAGAAGGGCCCGCAUGGGCACUUUCUGGAAAGUUUUUCGGUUGGGGAUGGGCUCGCGGCCUAUCAGCUUGUUGGUGAGGUAAUGGCUCACCAAGGCUACGACGGGUAGCCGGCCUGAGAGGGCGACCGGCCACACUGGGACUGAGACACGGCCCAGACUCCUACGGGAGGCAGCAGUGGGGAAUAUUGCACAAUGGGCGAAAGCCUGAUGCAGCGACGCCGCGUGAGGGAUGACGGCCUUCGGGUUGUAAACCUCUUUCAGCAGGGAAGAAGCGAAAGUGACGGUACCUGCAGAAGAAGCACCGGCUAACUACGUG
This 468-nucleotide ribosomal RNA is filed under the name uncultured bacterium. RNAcentral's name for it is "partial 16S ribosomal RNA". It matches the Rfam family "Bacterial small subunit ribosomal RNA", at positions 28 to 507 of the family's 1533-position model. The record is from RNAcentral.